GCCUUCGACAGCAGCUAGCUUUUUUCUACAACACAAUUAGGGUUUCAGGAUCUUCUUCCCAAAAAUCUCUGGUUCAAGAUGUCUAGGGUUUACAUUGGGAAUUUGGACCCCCGAGUCACUGAACGGGAACUCGAGGAUGAAUUUCGCGUAUUUGGAGUUAUUAGAAGUGUGUGGGUUGCCAGAAGACCCCCUGGUUAUGCUUUCAUUGAUUUCGAUGAUCGCAGGGAUGCCCAAGAUGCAAUUAGGGACCUUGAUGGUAAAAAUGGCUGGAGGGUUGAGCUAUCACACAACUCUAGAGGCGGAGGUGGAGGUGGAGGCGGCCGUGGUGGGGGUCGUGGUGGACGCUCUGGUUCUGAUUUGAAAUGCUAUGAAUGUGGUGAGCCUGGCCAUUUUGCUCGUGAGUGCCGAAUGAGGGGUGGUUCUGGAAGGCGCAGGAGCCGUAGCCCUGCUGCUAGAUAUCGCCGUAGCCCAAGCUAUGGUCGAAGGAGUUUAAGUCCUCGUGCUCGCUCACCUCGUCGUCGCAGUUUGUCUCCAAGGCCUCGCAGCUACAGCAGAUCGCCUCCGCCUUAUCGUGGACGAGAUGAAGUUCCAUAUACCAAUGGAAACGGUAUCCGAGACAGGCGUAGGAGCAGAAGCUGAGCUAGGAUGUUAUAUGCACUUUUGAGUCUCUUCUGAAGUUCUUCAAGUUGUGUUUACUGAGCUUGGACUUAUUUACGUCUUAGUUAAGAUGGGCGACGCCCUUGGGUUUCGACUCCUGGAUUUGGUUGUGUGAUUUCUAUUUAAGUAGUGUCUGCCUGCUACUGCUUCAUUGGUUUUGUACAUCUGCACUUGUGGUUUCGACCUUCUCUGCCCUGCUGUGGGAUCUUCAAUUUGAAUUAUUGUGGAUCCCAGCUGGCUACUCUGCUAGAUGCUACUUUUCAUUGCUUUCUGCGGCUAAGAUGCGUCUCUCCUCAAUAUUUAAUGUUAUGUAGAACUCCACUUGUGGUUUCGACCUUCUCUGCCCUGCUUCAAAUGUGAAUGAUUGUGGAUCCCGUUGUAGAACUUCUCUUGUGCUUUCAACCUGCCCUGCCCUGCUGUGGGAUCUUCAAUUUAAAUGAUUGUGGAUCCCGGCUGGUUACCCUGCUAGAUGCCACUACUUUUAAUUGCUUCUCUGCGGCUAAGAUGCGCCUCUCCUCAAUAAAUACGGUAUUUGAUUAGAUUUAAGGAUGGUGGUCGGCUUCACAUGCUUCUGGCAGGUAUUCAAUCUACUAUGUGGAAGUCGGCAUUUAACUUAAUCCUUAAUACUGCUCUAAAUGAUAGUGCAUCUUUUUAUCAGCAUGAAUUCAUCCCUAAGUAUUUAGUUGAUAUUUCAUGAGUUGGAAGCGAGGAACUAGGUAUAUAUCACCAUCCUUUUUUAACAUAAUUUGGUGUGGGAGAGUCUGAACUUCAACUUAACUUCUUGUGCAUAUUCCUUGCAACCUUUUAUUGACAUAAGAUUUAUAGGUGUUAUGCUGUGAUAAUUGCGUAACGAACCCAUCUCGAGCAUUUGUGUGUAGCGAUUAGGAUUUUGGUUUGUUCUUGUCGAAUUCAUUUGAAUCAGGGCCUGAUGGUAAUGAACUAUCGAGGCAGUUUGUCUUCGUUAAGAUCGUCAUCUACUUUACUUCUGGCCGGAUAGCUCAUCUUCGAAUGCUUUUCAAUUGACAUAAAUUCUUAAUAGGCCUCCAGAAGGCAAAGUUUUCAGCUGUGAAUUUUUAGGUGUUUUGAGGAUUUGAUAGAGGAAUUUGUAUUUUAUACAUAUAAAGUUAAUGAAAUAUACUCUUACAAGA
Salvia hispanica is the source of this 1805-nucleotide RNA transcript. It is a transcript of the gene named serine/arginine-rich splicing factor RSZ22A-like, with no coding region annotated. The record is from RefSeq and is a predicted model, not a curated record. Lineage: Eukaryota; Viridiplantae; Streptophyta; Magnoliopsida; Lamiales; Lamiaceae.